Small nuclear RNA from Rattus norvegicus (Norway rat), 148 nucleotides. Ensembl annotates it as U1 spliceosomal RNA. NCBI's taxonomy places the organism in Eukaryota, Metazoa, Chordata, Mammalia, Rodentia, Muridae. The record is from Ensembl.
AUACUUACCUGGCAGGAGAGAGACCGUGAGCGGAAAGGUGGCUUCCCUAGGACAAGGCACUCCAGGUGUGCUGACCUGUGGUUUCCCCGAGUGGGAAACUCAACCACAAAAUUUGUGGCAGUGAGAGUUGUGUUGGCAUUCCCCCUUU